This 460-nucleotide ribosomal RNA is filed under the name uncultured bacterium. RNAcentral's name for it is "partial 16S ribosomal RNA". It matches the Rfam family "Bacterial small subunit ribosomal RNA", at positions 338 to 795 of the family's 1533-position model. The record is from RNAcentral.
CCUACGGGAGGCUGCAGUGAGGAAUAUUGGUCAAUGGACGAGAGUCUGAACCAGCCAAGUAGCGUGAAGGAUGACUGCCCUAUGGGUUGUAAACUUCUUUUAUAUGGGAAUAAAAUGUUCCACGUGUGGGAUUUUGUAUGUACCAUAUGAAUAAGGAUCGGCUAACUCCGUGCCAGCAGCCGCGGUAAUACGGAGGAUCCGAGCGUUAUCCGGAUUUAUUGGGUUUAAAGGGAGCGUAGGUGGAUUGGUAAGUCAGUUGUGAAAGUUUGCGGCUCAACCGUAAAAUUGCAGUUGAAACUGGCAGUCUUGAGUACAGUAGAGGUGUGCGGAAUGCGUGGUGUAGCGGUGAAAUGCUUAGAUAUCACGAAGAACUCCGAUUGCGAAGGCAGUUCACUGGACUGCAACUGACACUGAGGCUCGAAAGUGUGGGUAUCAAACAGGAUUAGAUACCCUUGUAGUC